GAACGAAAUGGUUUCUUGCCCCUCUUGAUAAUUUACACGCAUGGCACAUUCAUCGGACCCUCACACACACAUUGUUUCCGGGUAAGAUCAAACGCAGCAGCAGCCUCUCACAGGCUGGGCGUCCUCUCGGCGGCGCCGGAGAUGACGGUGAGCAGGUUGUUGCCGAAGGGGUCGCUGAGGUGCUUGGCGAGGUUCUCGACGGGGCCCUCGCCGGUGACGUACGCCUGGAUGAAGAAGGCGAACAUGGAGAACAUGGCGAGCCGGCCGUUCUUGAUCUCCUUCACCUUGAGGAUGGCGGCCUGGUCGGGGUCGCUGGCCAGACCCAAUGGGUCGAACGGGCCGCCCGGGUGGAGCUUGUCCUCCAGGUCCAGCCCGUUGAUGAUCCGGUAGUACUCGGCGCCGCCGACGAGGACGACCUCGGCGAUGACGGCAACCACCAGGUUGAUGGGGAUGCUGUUGCCGAAGUAGCUGAGGGUGUUGCCGUCCAGGAGCAGGGCGCCGGUCUGCAUUGUAUUACGGUGGCGCCGCCAUUAGUUCACAGUUCAGAAUUUCAGUUUCAGAGAUUGCAAUUGCAACUAUUCUACCACUGAAAUGUGUGGUCUUUGUGAAACAAUGUUGAGUUCUUUUCUUUUUUCAUAAAUUCAAAUGCGCGCGAUUGUCCGGCACAUUUGGGGAAGAGAUUGCUACUCAAGUAUGAAGAUUCUUAGAGGUGGUGAUCAGGACCUUGAACCAGACGGCCUCAGGGCCACAGUUGGCGCCGAACUUGUUGCAGGCUUCGGGGAUGACGGCACCGGCGGCGCCGAGCAUGGCCCACCUGGCGUGGAUCAGCUCGUAGGCCUGGUACCUGCAGGGUGAUGGUGUGUGAGGUUAGAAUCUCGAAGUUCAUCAGUGUGCAGGCGAUUUGUUAGGGACAGAGAUAUUCGACUCACUUGGCGAAGUCCUCUGGCUUCUUGCCGAGGCCAAAAGGGUCGUAGCCAUAGCUGCAAGUAGGGCAAGAUAGUUCAGUACAGAUGCACUCACUAAGAUUUUCUGCAGCAUUUCAUUUGAACCAAAGGUAGAAACAAUGACAGACUAAAUAGAAGAAGACUACAGCUUAUAUGUGUGAGAAAAUUAGUCAUAUCUUCAAUUUAAAAUGCUGGUUUGAAUGCUUGAGAUGUCUGUGCUUUCGGAAUGAAUUUGACAAAUAGCAAAGCUGCGCCAUUUGGCUAGAAAAAUCUGAAUUUCACCACCAAACUACUUCUUUUCACAUUUUUUUCCAUUUUCUUCUAGAACAUGAUAUGAUGUCUAUUUUUCCAAACCAACAAGGGAGUACUUAGCCUUAUUUCAACCAAACUACCAACUGAAAUCUAAAUUUUCUGAAACCAAUGUAACUCCAUGGGGAGCAAAUUAGAGUCAUGUGACUUACUCUCCAGGGACCUCUCCGGUGAGGUACUCCGGCACCUCCGAGCGGUCCAAGAGACCAUCCGGCAGGUAGAUCCUCCUGUCAGGGCCUAUCAAGACAGGAACAAAAAAAAAAAAGGAGACAAUCACUACACAAGAAGCUUCUGAAAAUUUUCAUGCCAAAAAUUUUCAUUCCUAGAAGUCGAGGAAUCUCAGCAGUCAGGUACCGGUCUACUCACCGUACCACUUGGCGAGCUCGUCGCUGAUGUCCGGGGAUGAGGACGUUACCGCGGCGGGCUUCGGCUUCUGGGCAGGCUUCUUGCUGAAGAGAGAGACGAUCUUCUGCGCUCCGGCGGUCGGCGCAGCGGUGGCGUACCGUGAGGAGCCGGCGAAGUUGAUCUGGGUGCCGAGGAUCUUCGAUGGAGCGAGCGCCGCCAUUGCCACAGACCCACAGUUCAGAGGAAGAAUUGCAGGAGGGGGAUGGCUGAUGGGCGUUUGUGGA
This 1882-nucleotide long non-coding RNA is filed under the name Setaria viridis. RNAcentral describes it as "long non-coding RNA (SVIR_LNC008923)". The record is from RNAcentral. Lineage: Eukaryota; Viridiplantae; Streptophyta; Magnoliopsida; Poales; Poaceae.